CUGUAAUUCUCAAUAUUUUUUCAUUUUAUAUCUCACUGUUGUAUGACUUUGGAUAUUCUUCUAUUCUGAUUUCUUUUUAUAAAAACUUCUUUGUACAUGUACAACUCUUUCUUCUGAUAUUUUUUUUCUUUCUUUUCUUGAUCAAUUUGUAAUCUGUAUUAGAAUAGUGCUUAGUCUGUUAAUCAGUACUAUGUCUAUUAAACAGAUUAAUCAAAUCUAAAUAUUUCAUUAAAUUUCUGUAUAUAGCAAGUUUUGAGAUGAUCUAGGUUAAGAUAGCUAGAUGGAAGAUUUGUAGGAACACAUCACACAUGUUGGUGUGUGGGGGGGGUUGGGCACUCCACCGCACAUGAUUACCCCUAUAUAGUUAGC
This 369-nucleotide small RNA is filed under the name Histoplasma ohiense. RNAcentral's name for it is "hypothetical lncRNA". The record is from RNAcentral. Lineage: Eukaryota; Fungi; Ascomycota; Eurotiomycetes; Onygenales; Ajellomycetaceae.